RNAcentral lists this small RNA (694 nucleotides) under Pongo abelii (Sumatran orangutan). RNAcentral's name for it is "retained intron". Lineage: Eukaryota; Metazoa; Chordata; Mammalia; Primates; Hominidae. The record is from RNAcentral.
UAUGGGACCCUGACUGUGCGCAGCCUGCUGGACACCAGGGAGCACUGUCUGAACGAGUUCAACUUCCCGGAUCCCUACUCCAAAGUGAAGCAGCGGGAGAACGGCGUGGCGCUGAGGUGCUUCCCCGGGGUCGUGCGCUCCCUGGACGCUCUGGGCUGGGAGGAGCGGCAGCUGGCGCUGGUGAAAGGCCUCCUGGCGGGAAACGUCUUCGACUGGGGGGCCAAAGCCGUGUCUGAGUAGGUGUCUGCGGGCUCGGGGCAGGCUCUGCAGCCUGUGGGUCCCUGUCCUGCCCCAGGCUUGUGUGCAAGGAGGCGGAGCAGGUCCCUCGGGGGUCAUGUGGCACUUGGUGGCUUGAUGGCUCGGGGCUUUGGGGCCCAGGGGCUGUGCAGAGCCCGGCGCCCUUGUCUGUCCCCUCAGGCUCUGAGGAGGCCCCUUCCUUAAGCACGGGUGCCGCGGAGGCCUAGGGGUAUGGAUUUGAAAAUCGGGGCUGGCAUUUUUUAUUGUUGGAAUCCAAAUUCAUGUUUCCUAUGCGUGGUAGGAAUUAAACAUUUCUGAUGUGAUGAUCAAAGGGUGCUUUGCAAAGGAGUCCCCUAGACUGGCCUGUGGGACACGCAGGUGUCUAGCACAUGGCGCCGUCUCCUGGGGCUCUGAAUCUUGAAAAUGAACCAUCCCUACCAUAAUUUACCUUCACUCC